UACGUAGGGGGCAAGCGUUGUCCGGAAUUAUUGGGCGUAAAGAGCUCGUAGGCGGUCUGUCGCGUCGGCUGUGAAAUCCCGAGGCUCAACCUCGGGUCUGCAGUCGAUACGGGCAGACUAGAGUGCGGUAGGGGAGACUGGAAUUCCUGGUGUAGCGGUGAAAUGCGCAGAUAUCAGGAGGAACACCGGUGGCGAAGGCGGGUCUCUGGGCCGUAACUGACGCUGAGGAGCGAAAGCGUGGGGAGCGAACAGG
RNAcentral lists this ribosomal RNA (253 nucleotides) under uncultured bacterium. RNAcentral's name for it is "partial 16S ribosomal RNA". It matches the Rfam family "Bacterial small subunit ribosomal RNA", at positions 524 to 776 of the family's 1533-position model. The record is from RNAcentral.